Molecule: ribosomal RNA, 433 nt
Filed under: uncultured bacterium
Lineage: Bacteria
Description: partial 16S ribosomal RNA
Rfam family: Bacterial small subunit ribosomal RNA
Source: RNAcentral
AACGAACGCUGGCGGCAGGCCUAACACAUGCAAGUCGAGCGAGCAUUUCGGUGCUAGCGGCGGACGGGUGAGUAACGCGUGGGAACGUGCCCUUUUCUGCGGAAUAGUCCUGGGAAACUGGGGGUAAUACCGCAUACGCCCUUUUGGGGAAAGAUUUAUCGGAGAAGGAUCGGCCCGCGUUGUAUUAGGUAGUUGGUGGGGUAAUGGCCCACCACGCCGACGAUCCAUAGCUGGGUUGAGAGGAUGAUCAGCCACACUGGGACUGAGACACGGCCCAGACUCCUACGGGAGGGAGCAGUGGGGAAUCUUAGACAAUGGGGGCAACCCUGAUCUAGCCAUGCCGCGUGAGUGAUGAAGGCCUUAGGGUUGUAAAGCUCUUUCAGCUGGGAAGAUAAUGACGGUACCAGCAGAAGAAGCCCCGGCUAACUCCGUG